RNAcentral lists this ribosomal RNA (515 nucleotides) under uncultured bacterium. Its description in RNAcentral is "partial 16S ribosomal RNA". It matches the Rfam family "Bacterial small subunit ribosomal RNA", at positions 28 to 523 of the family's 1533-position model. The record is from RNAcentral.
GAUGAACGCUGGCGGCGUGCCUAAUACAUGCAAGUCGAGCGAAUGGAUUGAGAGCUUGCUCUUAUGAAGUUAGCGGCGGACGGGUGAGUAACACGUGGGUAACCUGCCCAUAAGACUGGGAUAACUCCGGGAAACCGGGGCUAAUACCGGAUAACAUUUUGAACCGCAUGGUUCGAAAUUGAAGGGCGGCUUCGGCUGUCACUUAUGGAUGGACCCGCGUCGCAUUAGCUAGUUGGUGAGGUAACGGCUCACCAAGGCAACGAUGCGUAGCCGACCUGAGAGGGUGAUCGGCCGCACUGGGACUGAGACACGGCCCAGACUCCUACGGGAGGCAGCAGUAGGGAAUCUUCCGCAAUGGACGAAAGUCUGACGGAGCAACGCCACGUGAGUGAUGAAGGCUUUCGGGUCGUAAAACUCUGUUGUUAGGGAAGAACAAGUGCUAGUUGAAUAAGCUGGCACCUUGACGGUACCUAACCAGAAAGCCACGGCUAACUACGUGCCAGCCGCCGCAGUAA